This 1490-nucleotide ribosomal RNA is filed under the name metagenome. RNAcentral's name for it is "SSU rRNA". It matches the Rfam family "Eukaryotic small subunit ribosomal RNA", at positions 1 to 1391 of the family's 1831-position model. The record is from RNAcentral.
UCUGGUUGACCCUGCCAGUAGCAUAUGCUUGUCUCUGAGACUAAGCCAUGCAUGUCUAAGUAUAAAUUAAUUUUUACGGUGAAACUGCGGACGGCUCAUUAAAUCAGUUAUAACCUACUUGAUCGUGUGACUUUAUUCGGAUAACCCUAGUAAUUCUAGAGCUAAUACGUGCUAAAAGCCUUAACUUCCAGCAAUGGGGGAAGAGGUGUAUUUAUUAGAAACUAAAACCAAUCAGCUUCGGCUGUUUGAGAUGAUUCAUAAUAACUCGGCAAAUUACGGGAAAAUUCCUGUGAUGAUUCAAACGGAUUUCUGACCUAUCAACUUUAGAUGGCAAAGUAGGGGUUUGCCAUGGUGACAACGGGUGACGGGGAAUUAGGGUUCGAUUCCGGAGAGGGAGCCUGAGAAACGGCUACCACUUCCGAGGAAGGCAGCAGGCGCGCAAAUUACCCAAUGCUAAUUCGGCGAGGUAGUGACAAGAAAUACCAAUGUAGGACCCAACGGGUACUACGUUUGGAAUGAGAACAAUUUAAAAACCUUAACGAGGAACAAUUGGAGGGCAAGUCUGGUGCCAGCAGCCGCGGUAAUUCCAGCUCCAAUAGUGUAUAUUAAAGUUGCUGCGGUUAAAAAGCUCGUAGUUGGAUUACGAAGUGGUGUUUAAAUGUCAUUUUGGUUUGUUUGUCUUUCGGGGCAUUUAGGUCAACUUGGCUUUUACUCACUGUUGUCAUUGUCUUUGCCCAAGGUAUAUGCCUUGUGUGCAUGGCAUUGACCUUCUAUUUUAUGGUAAUGUUGUAUCUUUCGGGGUACAUUCAUUCCAUAUAGUUUACUUUGAAAAAAUUAGGGUGUUUAAAGCAGGCGAAAAGGCUUCGGAAUAUAUUAGCAUGGGAUAAUAGAAUACGAUCUAGGUCGUAAUUUGUUGGUUUCUACGGCUUAGGUAAUGAUUGACAGGGAUAGUUGGGGUCGCUCGUAUUGAGUUGUCAGAGGUGAAAUUCUAGGAUUAACUCAAGACGAACUAAUGCGAAAGCAUUCGGCAAGGAUGUUUUCAUUAAUCAAGAACGAAAGUUGGGGGAUCGAAGAUGAUCAGAUACCGUCGUAGUCUCAACUGUAAACUAUGUCGACCGAGGAUCCGGUAGCGUUACAUGGAUGACCUUCCGGGCACUCUGUGAGAAAUCAUAAGUAUUUGGAUUUCGGGGGGAGUAUGGUCGCAAGGCUGAAACUUAAAGGGAUUGACGGAAGGGCACCACCAGGAGUGGAAUCUGCGGCUUAAUUUGACCCAACACGGGAAAACUUACCAGGUCCGGACACAGUGAGGAUUGACAGAUUGAGAGCUCUUUCUUGAUUUUGUGGGUGGUGGUGCAUGGCCGUCUUUAGUUGGUGGAGUGAUUUGUCUGGUUAAUUCCGUUAACGAACGAGACCUUAACCUAUUAAAUAGCUGCGCGAACCCAGGUUCUUUAACCAUUCUCUCCUUCGGGGGGGGCGUGGUAUCAUUAUUU